GACGAAGUGGGAGUGGCCGGUGAGGCGGCGGCGGGGAACGCCGUAGGAGGUGGAGGAUGCGUCAACGCCGGACUCCUUGGUGAGGUUCCAGACGAGGACAGAUUUGUCGCGGGAGGAGGAGACGAUCAUGUCGGAGUUGUCGAUGGGGGUAGCGAUGGCGGUGACCCAGUCGGAAUGGCCGCGCAUGGUACCGCGAUGGACGAGCAUCUCCGACAUUGCUGGUGGAGGAGAUCCGGCGGCGGCGAGCUGGCUAGG
RNAcentral lists this unclassified non-coding RNA (255 nucleotides) under Hevea brasiliensis (rubber tree). The record is from RNAcentral. Lineage: Eukaryota; Viridiplantae; Streptophyta; Magnoliopsida; Malpighiales; Euphorbiaceae.